This 119-nucleotide ribosomal RNA is filed under the name Pteropus alecto (black flying fox). The record is from RNAcentral. Lineage: Eukaryota; Metazoa; Chordata; Mammalia; Chiroptera; Pteropodidae.
GUCUACGGCCAUGCUACCCUGAACAAUCCCGACCCCAUCUGAUCUUGGAAGCUAAGCAGGGUUGGGCCUGGUUAGUACUUGGAUGCGAGACCACCUAGGAAGAUCAGGUGCUGUAGGCA